RNAcentral lists this transfer RNA (28 nucleotides) under Trifolium repens (white clover). RNAcentral describes it as "partial tRNA-His". The record is from RNAcentral. Lineage: Eukaryota; Viridiplantae; Streptophyta; Magnoliopsida; Fabales; Fabaceae. RNAcentral also lists the same sequence under 4 other names.
CGAAUGUAGCCAAGUGGAUCAAGGCAGU